UUCCGGUUGAUCCUGCCGGACCCGACUGCUAUUUGGGUGAGGAUAAGCCAUGCGAGUCGAAUGGGAUACCUAAAUUUCCCAUGGCGAACUGCUCAAUAACACAUGAUCAACUUGCCCUAUAGAGAAAAAUAACCUCGGGAAACUGAGGAUAAUGUUUCAUAGUUGAAAAGGCUUGGAAAAGUUUUUCAACCAAAGGGAUAAAAAAAAUGGUUUUUAUCCGCUAUAGGAUAGGAUCGUGCUCGAUUAUGGUCGUUGGUGAGGUAACGGCUCACCAAGCCGAUAAUCGAUAGGGGCCGUGAGAGCGGGAGCCCCGAGAUGGGUACUGAGACAGCGACCCAGGUCUUACGAGGCGCAGCAGGCGCGGAACCUCCGCAAUACACGAAAGUGUGACGGGGUUACCCAAAGUGUUCAUUUAUGGACUGUGGUAGGUGAGUAAUGUCCCCUACUAGAAAGGAGAGGGCAAGGCUGGUGCCAGCCGCCGCGGUAAAACCAGCUCUUCAAGUGGUCGGGAUAAUUAUUGGGCUUAAAGUGUCCGUAGCCGGUUUAGUAAGUUCCUGGUAAAAUCAGGUAGCCUAACUAUCUGCAUGCUAGGAAUACUGCUAUACUAGAGGGCGGGAGAGGUCUGAGGUACUACAGGGGUAGGGGUGAAAUCUUAUAAUCCUUGUAGGACCACCAGUGGCGAAGGCGUCAGACUGGAACGUGCCUGACGGUGAGGGACGAAAGCCAGGGGAGCGAACCGGAUUAGAUACCCGGGUAGUCCUGGCCGUAAACGAUGCAUACUAGGUGAUGGCAUGGCCAUGAGCCAUGUCAGUGCCGUAGGGAAACCGUUAAGUGUGCCGCCUGGGAAGUACGGUCGCAAGGCUAAAACUUAAAGGAAUUGGCGGGGGAGCACCACAAGGGGUGAAGCCUGCGGUUCAAUUGGAAUCAACGCCGG
RNAcentral lists this ribosomal RNA (934 nucleotides) under uncultured archaeon. Its description in RNAcentral is "bacterial SSU rRNA". It matches the Rfam family "Archaeal small subunit ribosomal RNA", at positions 1 to 921 of the family's 1478-position model. The record is from RNAcentral.